UAAAGUGAGUGUUGUAGAAAACAGUUUAGAGUGGGGUUUGUAGAAAACAUGAGUUUAGAGUGAGUUUUGUAGAAUACAUGAGUUUAGAGUGAGGUUUGCAGAAAAAAUGAUUUUAGAGUGAGUGUUAUAGAAUGCAUGAGUUUAGAGUGAGUGUUAUAGAAUGCAUGAGUUUAGAGUGAGGUUUGUAGAAUACAUGAGUUUAGAGUGAGUGUUAUAGAAUGCAUGACUUUAGAGUGAGGUUUGUAGAAUACAUGAGUUUAGAGUGAGUGUUGUAGAAAACAUGAGUUUAGAGUGAGGUUUGUAGAAAACAUGAGUUUAGAGUGAGUGUUGUAGAAAACAUGAGUUUAGAGUUAGGUUUGUGGAAUACACAAGUUUAGAGUGAGGUUUGUAGAAAACAUGAGUUUAGAGUGAGGUUUGUAGAAUACAUGAGUUUAGAGUGAGGUUUGUAGAAAACAUGAGUAUAGAGUUAGGUUUGUAGAAUACACAAGUUUAGAGUGAGGUUUGUAGAAAACAUGAGUUUAGAGUGAGUGUUGUAGAAAACAUGAGUUUAGAGUUAGGUUUGUAGAAUACACAAGUUUAGAGUGAGGUUUGUAGAAAACAUGAGUUUAGAGUGAGGUUUGUAGAAAACAUGAGUUUAGAGUGAGGUUUGUAGAAAACAUGAGUUUAGAGUGAGUGUUGUAGAAAACAUGAGUUUAGAGUUAGGUUUGUGGAAUACACAAGUUUAGAGUGAGGUUUGUAGAAAACAUGAGUUUAGAGUGAGGUUUGUAGAAUACAUGAGUUUAGAGUGAGGUUUGUAGAAAACAUGAGUAUAGAGUUAGGUUUGUAGAAUACACAAGUUUAGAGUGAGGUUUGUAGAAGACAUGAGUUUAGAGUGAGUGUUGUAGAAAACAUGAGUUUAGAGUUAGGUUUGUAGAAUACACAAGUUUAGAGUUAGGUUUGUAGAAAACAUGAGUUUAGAGUGAGGUUUGUAGAAUACAUGAGUUUAGAGUGAGGUUUGUAGAAAACAUGAGUUUAGAGUGAGUGUUAUAAAAUGCAUGAGUUUCGAGUGAGGUUUGUAGAAUACAUGAGUUUAGAGUGAGUGUUAUAGAAUGCAUGAGUUUUGAGUGAGGUUUGUAGAAUACAUGAGUUUAGAGUGAGCGUUAUAGAAUGCAUGAGUUUAGAGUGAGGUUUGUAGAAUACAUGAGUUUAGAGUGAGUGAUAUAGAAUGCAUGAGUUUAGAGUGAGUGUUAUAAAAUGCAUGAGUUUAGAGUGAGGUUUGUAGAAUACAUGAGUUUAGAAUGAGUGUUAUAGCAUGCAUGAGUUUAAAGUGAGUGUUGUAGAAAACAGUUUAGAGUGGGGUUUGUAGAAAACAUGAGUUUAGAGUGAGUUUUGUAGAAUACAUGAGUUUAGAGUGAGGUUUGUAGAAAACAUGAGUUUAGAGUGAGUGUUAUAGAAUGCAUGAGUUUCGAGUGAGGUUUGUAGAAUACAUGAGUUUAGAGUGAGUGUUAUAGAAUGCAUGAGUUUUGAGUGAGGUUUGUAGAAUACAUGAGUUUAGAGUGAGCGUUAUAGAAUGCAUGAGUUUAGAGUGAGGUUUGUAGAAUACAUGAGUUUAGAGUGAGUGAUAUAGAAUGCAUGAGUUUAGAGUGAGUGUUAUAAAAUGCAUGAGUUUAGAGUGAGGUUUGUAGAAUACAUGAGUUUAGAGUGAGUGUUAUAGAAUGCAUGAGUUUAAAGUGAGUGUUGUAGAAAACAUGAGUUUAGAGUGAGGUUUGUAGAAAACAUGAGUUUAGAGUGAGUGUUAUAGAAUGUAUGAGUUUAGAGUGAGGUUUGUAGAAUACACAAGUUUAGAGUGAGGUUUGUAGAAUACACAAGUUUAGAGUGAGGUUUGUAGAAAACAUGAGUUUAGACUGAGUGUUGUAGAAAACAUGAGUUUAGAGUUAGGUUUGUAGAAUACACAAGUUUAGAGUGAGGUUUGUAGAAAACAUGAGUUUAGAGUGAGGUUUGUAGAAUACAUGAGUUUAGAGUGAGGUUUGUAGAAAACAUGAAUUUAGAGUGAGUGUUAUAGAAUGCAUGGGUUUUGAGUGAGGUUUGUAGAAUACAUGAGUUUAGAGUGAGCGUUAUAGAAUGCAUGAGUUUAGAGUGAGGUUUGUAGAAAACAUGAGUUGAGAGUGAGUGAUAUAGAAUGCAUGAGUUUAGAGUGAGGUUUGUAGAAUACAUGAGUUUAGAGUGAGGUUUGUAGAAUACAUGAGUAUAGAGUGAGUGUUAUAGAAUACAUGAGUUUAGAGUGAGGUUUUUAGAAUACAUGAGUUUAGAGUGAGUGUUAUAGAAUGCAUGAGUUUAGAGUGAGGUUUGUAGAAAACAUAAGUUUAGAGUGAGGUUUGUAGAAUGAAUGAGUUUAGAGUGAGUGUUAUAGAAUGCAUGAGCUUAGAGUGAGGUUUGUAGAAUACAUGAGUUUAGAGUGAGUGUUGUAGAAAACAUGAGUUUAGAGUGAGUGUUGUAGAAAACAUGAGUUUAGAGUUAGGUUUGUGGAAUACACAAGUUUAGAGUGAGGUUUGUAGAAAACAUGAGUUUAGAGUGAGGUUUGUAGAAUACAUGAGUUUAGAGUGAGGUUUGCAGAAAAAAUGAUUUUAGAGUGAGUGUUAUAGAAUGCAUGAGUUUAGAGUGAGUGUUAUAGAAUGCAUGAGUUUAGAGUGAGGUUUGUAGAAUACACAAGUUUAGAGUGAGGUUUGUAGAAAACAUGAGUUUAAAGUGAGGUUUGUAGAAUACACAAGUUUAGAGUGAGGUUUGUAGAAAACAUGAGUUUAGAGUGAGGUUUGUAGAAUACACGAGUUUAGAGUGAUGUUUGUAGAAUACAUGAGUUUAGAGAGAGGUUUGUAGAAUACAUGAGUUUAGAGUGAGGUUUGUAGAAUACAUGAGUAUAGAGUGAGUGUUAUAGAAUACAUGAGUUUAGAGUGAGGUUUGUAGAAUACAUGAGUUUAGAGUGAGUGUUAUAGAAUGCAUGAGUUUAGAGUGAGGUUUGUAGAAAACAUGAGUUGAGUGAGUGUUGUAGAAAACAUGAGUUUAGAGUUAGGUUUGUGGAAUACACAAGUUUAGAGUGAGGUUUGUAGAAAACAUGAGUUUAGAGUGAGGUUUGUAGAAUACAUGAGUUUAGAGUGAGGUUUGUAGAAAACAUGAGUUUCGAGUGAGUGUUAUAGAAUGCAUGGGUUUUGAGUGAGGUUUGUAGAAUACAUGAGUUUAGAGUGAGCGUUAUAGAAUGCAUGAGUUUAGAGUGAGGUUUGUAGAAUACAUGAGUUUAGAGUGAGUGAUAUAGAAUGCAUGAGUUUAGAGUGAGGUUUGUAGAAAACAUGAGUUUAGAGUGAGUGUUGUAGAAAACAUGAGUUUAGAGUUAGGUUUGUAGAAUACACAAGUUUAGAGUGAGGUUUGUAGAAUACACAAGUUUAGAGUGAGGUUUGUAGAAAACAUGAGUUUAGAGUGAGUGUUGUAGAAAACAUGAGUUUAGAGUUAGGUUUGUAGAAUACACAAGUUUAGAGUGAGGUUUGUAGAAAACAUGAGUUUAGAGUGAGGUUUGUAAAAUACAUGAGUUUAGAGUGAGGUUUGUAGAAAACAUGAAUUUAGAGUGAGUGUUAUAGAAUGCAUGGGUUUUGAGUGAGGUUUGUAGAAUACAUGAGUUUAGAGUGAGCGUUAUAGAAUGCAUGAGUUUAGAGUGAGGUUUGUAGAAUACAUGAGUUUAGAGUGAGUGAUAUAGAAUGCAUGAGUUUAGAGUGAGGUUUGUAGAAUACAUGAGUUUAGAGUGAGUGUUAUAGAAUGCAUGAGUUUAAAGUGAGUGUUGUAGAAAGCAUGAGUUUAGAGUGAGGUUUGUAGAAAACAUGAGUUUAGAGUGAGUGUUAUAGAAUGCAUGAGUUUAGAGUGAGGUUUGUAGAAUACACAAGUUUAGAGUGAGGUUUGUAGAAAACAUGAGUUUAGAGUGAGUGUUGUAGAAAACAUGAGUUUAGAGUUAGGUUUGUAGAAUACACAAGUUUAGAGUGAGGUUUGUAGAAAACAUGAGUUUAGAGUGAGGUUUGUAGAAUACAUGAGUUUAGAGUGAGGUUUGUAGUAAACAUGAGUUUAGAGUGAGUGUUAUAGAAUGCAUGAGUUUAGAGUGAGGUUUGUAGAAUACAUGAGUAUAGAGUGAGUGUUAUAGAAUACAUGAGUUUAGAGUGAGGUUUGUAGAAUACAUGAGUUUAGAGUGAGUGUUAUAGAAUGCAUGAGUUUAGAGUGAGGUUUGUAGAAAACAUAAGUUUAGAGUGAGGUUUGUAGAAUGAAUGAGUUUAG
Ylistrum balloti is the source of this 4287-nucleotide long non-coding RNA. RefSeq lists it as uncharacterized. NCBI's taxonomy places the organism in Eukaryota, Metazoa, Mollusca, Bivalvia, Pectinida, Pectinidae. The record is from RefSeq and is a predicted model, not a curated record. The transcript is spliced from 3 exons.